Long non-coding RNA from Vidua macroura (Pin-tailed whydah), 290 nucleotides. RefSeq lists it as uncharacterized. The transcript is spliced from 4 exons. The record is from RefSeq and is a predicted model, not a curated record. Lineage: Eukaryota; Metazoa; Chordata; Aves; Passeriformes; Viduidae.
CAUGGCACCAGUCCCAAGCCUGAGGGAACAGCAGGAUGGUGUGGCUGGGUUGGGUCCAGUCAGGCUUGUGCAAUAAUGCAGCCCUGUAAGACCAAGACAGCCAGGACUUCUAGCCAAUGCAAUAUGGAGAUGUAAUUAUAUAAAAAGCAUGAAGACAGUCAUGAAUGCCAGUAUGUGUAUUGUUGCUCUUCUUUGACAGAUGGAGAAUCAGGAGUCAGACCCUCAGUGCUGAAUGACGGAACAAAGAAGGAGUCUGUGAAAGGUCUUGAAAGAUAAAAUACAUCACUUAU